GCGUUUUCGAUGCUGGUCACAGGAAAAUCCAGGAGCCGCAUUGAAUCAGCCAAAGAGCCGCAUGCGGCUCGCGAGACGCAGGUUGGCCACCCCGACAGUAGUCCACGUUUAGUGAGUUUGCACACCAUUGUAAAGAUAUCAGACUAACCAUUUAUUUUCUACCGAAGCGAGCAAAAGCUUGUCAGCAGUUUUGAGCGCAUACCUGUUAAAUUGGACCUGGCCAGCAUGGGGCGCUGGGCUUAAACUGUAUCAUAAAAGACAGUUCAAAACGGCAAUUAAAGAUGACAAACAGAGAAGAAGAAAACAGAUGUUAACCAUAAGAGACAGGUUCAUACCUGCACAUUCAGUGCUUUACAUACACCUGAAUUGUUCCGAAGCUCGCCGUGCUUUGUCUUCUCCUUAACAGUCCCAGUCGGGAAACCUGAGGAAAAAGAUCAGCAGGAAAAUGACCAUGAUGGGAACAAAGCUGGAUGAUGCCCUCCAGCAGAAACUGAGAAAUCUUAUUCACCACAAACACGCCCUGAUUUUUAAAUUGGACGACUUAUUUUUGGUUUUGGAUCAG
Hippocampus comes (tiger tail seahorse) is the source of this 562-nucleotide long non-coding RNA. RefSeq lists it as uncharacterized. Lineage: Eukaryota; Metazoa; Chordata; Actinopteri; Syngnathiformes; Syngnathidae. The record is from RefSeq and is a predicted model, not a curated record. The transcript is spliced from 4 exons.